RNAcentral lists this ribosomal RNA (468 nucleotides) under uncultured bacterium. RNAcentral's name for it is "partial 16S ribosomal RNA". It matches the Rfam family "Bacterial small subunit ribosomal RNA", at positions 28 to 507 of the family's 1533-position model. The record is from RNAcentral.
GACGAACGCUGGCGGCGUGCUUAACACAUGCAAGUCGAACGGAAAGGCCCUGCUUUUGUGGGGUGCUCGAGUGGCGAACGGGUGAGUAACACGUGAGUAACCUGCCCUUGACUUUGGGAUAACUUCAGGAAACUGGGGCUAAUACCGGAUAGGAGCUCCUGCUGCAUGGUGUGGGUUGGAAAGUUUCGGCGGUUGGGGAUGGACUCGCGGCUUAUCAGCUUGUUGGUGGGGUAGUGGCUUACCAAGGCUUUGACGGGUAGCCGGCCUGAGAGGGUGACCGGCCACAUUGGGACUGAGAUACGGCCCAGACGCCUACGGGAGGCAGCAGUGGGGAAUAUUGCACAAUGGGCGGAAGCCUGAUGCAGCAACGCCGCGUGCGGGAUGACGGGCUUCGGGUUGUAAACCGCUUUCGCCUGUGACGAAGCGUGAGUGACGGUAAUGGGUAAAGAAGCACCGGCUAACUACGUG